AGAGUUUGAUCCUGGCUCAGAACGAACGUUAGCGGCGCGCCUAACACAUGCAAGUCGAACGAGAAAGGGCUUCGGCCCCGGUAAAGUGGCGCACGGGUGAGUAAUACGUGGAUAAUCUUCCCUCGAGCGGGGGAUAACAUUCCGAAAGGAGUGCUAAUACCGCAUAAGACCACGAAGCCGAAAGGCUUUGAGGUAAAAGCAGGCCUCUAUACAUAAGCUUGCACUUGAGGAUGAGUCCACGGCCCAUCAGGUAGUUGGUAGGGUAAUGGCCUACCAAGCCUAAGACGGGUAGCUGGUCUGAGAGGAUGAUCAGCCACACUGGAACUGAGACACGGUCCAGACUCCUACGGGAGGCAGCAGUGGGGAAUCUUGCGCAAUGGACGAAAGUCUGACGCAGCGACGCCGCGUGGGUGAUGAAGGCCUUCGGGUUGUAAAGCCCUGUGGGGAGAGACGAAUAAGUGUUGGCCAAUAUCCAGCAUGAUGACGGUAUCUCCUUAGCAAGCACCGGCUAACUCUGUGCCAGCAGCCGCGGUAAGACAGAGGGUGCAAACGUUGUUCGGAAUUACUGGGCGUAAAGCGUGUGUAGGCGGCCGCGCAAGUCGGAUGUGAAAGCCCCAGGCUCAACCUGGGAAGUGCACCCGAUACUGCAUGGCUCGAGUACUGGAGAGGUUGGUGGAAUUCUCGGUGUAGAGGUGAAAUUCGUAGAUAUCGAGAGGAACACCGGUGGCGAAGGCGGCCAACUGGACAGAUACUGACGCUGAGACACGAAAGCGUGGGGAGCAAACAGGAUUAGAUACCCUAGUAGUCC
This 808-nucleotide ribosomal RNA is filed under the name uncultured bacterium. Its description in RNAcentral is "bacterial SSU rRNA". It matches the Rfam family "Bacterial small subunit ribosomal RNA", at positions 8 to 796 of the family's 1533-position model. The record is from RNAcentral.